AGAGUUUGAUCAUGGCUCAGGAUGAACGCUAGCGACAGGCUUAACACAUGCAAGUCGAGGGGCAGCAUGAUUUGUAGCAAUACAGAUUGAUGGCGACCGGCGCACGGGUGAGUAACGCGUAUGCAACUUACCUAUCAGAGGGGGAUAGCCCGGCGAAAGUCGGAUUAAUACCCCAUAAAACAGGGGUCCCGCAUGGGAAUAUUUGUUAAAGAUUCAUCGCUGAUAGAUAGGCAUGCGUUCCAUUAGGCAGUUGGCGGGGUAACGGCCCACCAAACCGACGAUGGAUAGGGGUUCUGAGAGGAAGGUCCCCCACAUUGGUACUGAGACACGGACCAAACUCCUACGGGAGGCAGCAGUGAGGAAUAUUGGUCAAUGGCCGAGAGGCUGAACCAGCCAAGUCGCGUGAAGGAAGAAGGAUCUAUGGUUUGUAAACUUCUUUUAUAGGGGAAUAAAGUGGAGGACGUGUCCUUUUUUGUAUGUACCCUAUGAAUAAGCAUCGGCUAACUCCGUGCCAGCAGCCGCGGUAAUACGGAGGAUGCGAGCGUUAUCCGGAUUUAUUGGGUUUAAAGGGUGCGUAGGUGGUGAUUUAAGUCAGCGGUGAAAGUUUGUGGCUCAACCAUAAAAUUGCCGUUGAAACUGGGUUACUUGAGUGUGUUUGAGGUAGGCGGAAUGCGUGGUGUAGCGGUGAAAUGCAUAGAUAUCACGCAGAACUCCGAUUGCGAAGGCAGCUUACUAAACCAUAACUGACACUGAAGCACGAAAGUGUGGGGAUCAAACAGGAUUAGAUACCCUGGUAGUCCACGCAGUAAACGAUGAUUACUAGGAGUUUGCGAUACAAUGUAAGCUCUACAGCGAAAGCGUUAAGUAAUCCACCUGGGGAGUACGCCGGCAACGGUGAAACUCAAAGGAAUUGACGGGGGCCCGCACAAGCGGAGGAACAUGUGGUUUAAUUCGAUGAUACGCGAGGAACCUUACCCGGGUUUGAACGUAGUCUGACCGGAGUGGAAACACUCUUUCUAGCAAUAGCAGAUUACGAGGUGCUGCAUGGUUGUCGUCAGCUCGUGCCGUGAGGUGUCGGCUUAAGUGCCAUAACGAGCGCAACCCUUAUCACUAGUUACUAACAGGUGAAGCUGAGGACUCUGGUGAGACUGCCAGCGUAAGCUGUGAGGAAGGUGGGGAUGACGUCAAAUCAGCACGGCCCUUACAUCCGGGGCGACACACGUGUUACAAUGGCAUGGACAAAGGGCAGCUACCUGGUGACAGGAUGCUAAUCUCCAAACCAUGUCUCAGUUCGGAUCGGAGUCUGCAACUCGACUCCGUGAAGCUGGAUUCGCUAGUAAUCGCGCAUCAGCCAUGGCGCGGUGAAUACGUUCCCGGGCCUUGUACACACCGCCCGUCAAGCCAUGGGAGCCGGGGGUACCUGAAGUCCGUAACCGCAAGGAUCGGCCUAGGGUAAAACUGGUGACUGGGCUAAGUCGUAACAAGGUA
RNAcentral lists this ribosomal RNA (1488 nucleotides) under metagenome. RNAcentral's name for it is "bacterial SSU rRNA". It matches the Rfam family "Bacterial small subunit ribosomal RNA". The record is from RNAcentral.